AUGCCAUGCUUCCAGGAAAAGCCUCUAAGCUUCAGAUUGUAAGGAAUCGUACCCCAAACCGACACAGGUGGUCGGGUAGAGAAUACCAAGGCGCUUGAGAGAACUCGGGUGAAGGAACUAGGCAAAAUGGUACCGUAACUUCGGGAGAAGGUACGCUCUUGAUGGUGAAGUCCCUUGCGGAUGGAGCUGACGAGAGUCGCAGAUACCAGGUGGCUGCAACUGUUUAUUAAAAACACAGCACUGUGCAAAAUCGUAAGAUGACGUAUACGGUGUGACGCCUGCCCGGUGCCGGAAGGUUAAUUGAUGGGGUUAGCGUAAGCGAAGCUCUUGAUCGAAGCCCCGGUAAACGGCGGCCGUAACUAUAACGGUCCUAAGGUAGCGAAAUUCCUUGUCGGGUAAGUUCCGACCUGCACGAAUGGCGUAAUGAUGGCCACGCUGUCUCCACCCGAGACUCAGUGAAAUUGAAAUCGCUGUGAAGAUGCAGUGUACCCGCGGCUAGACGGAAAGACCCCGUGAACCUUUACUACAGCUUGGCACUGAACAUUGAACCUACAUGUGUAGGAUAGGUGGGAGGCUUUGAAGACGUGACGCCAGUUGCGUUGGAGCCGUCCUUGAAAUACCACCCUUGUAUGUUUGAUGUUCUAACGUUGGCCCCUAAUCGGGGUUGCGGACAGUGCCUGGUGGGUAGUUUGACUGGGGCGGUCUCCUCCCAAAGAGUAACGGAGGAGCACGAAGGUGGGCUAAUCACGGUUGGACAUCGUGAGGUUAGUGCAAUGGCAUAAGCCCGCUUAACUGCGAGAAUGACGGUUCGAGCAGGUGCGAAAGCAGGUCAUAGUGAUCCGGUGGUUCUGAAUGGAAGGGCCAUCGCUCAACGGAUAAAAGGUACUCCGGGGAUAACAGGCUGAUACCGCCCAAGAGUUCAUAUCGACGGCGGUGUUUGGCACCUCGAUGUCGGCUCAUCACAUCCUGGGGCUGAAGUCGGUCCCAAGGGUAUGGCUGUUCGCCAUUUAAAGUGGUACGCGAGCUGGGUUUAGAACGUCGUGAGACAGUUCGGUCCCUAUCUGCCGUGGGCGUUGGAAGAUUGAAGGGGGCUGCUCCUAGUACGAGAGGACCGGAGUGGACGAACCUCUGGUGUUCGGGUUGUGUCGCCAGACGCAUUGCCCGGUAGCUAAGUUCGGAAUCGAUAACCGCUGAAAGCAUCUAAGCGGGAAGCGAGCCCUGAGAUGAGUCUUCCCUGAUACUUUAAGUAUCCUGAAGGGUUGUUCGAGACUAGAACGUUGAUAGGCAGGGUGUGUAAGCGCUG
This 1303-nucleotide ribosomal RNA is filed under the name Vibrio vulnificus. Its description in RNAcentral is "partial 23S ribosomal RNA". It matches the Rfam family "Bacterial large subunit ribosomal RNA", at positions 1597 to 2878 of the family's 2925-position model. The record is from RNAcentral. Lineage: Bacteria; Pseudomonadati; Pseudomonadota; Gammaproteobacteria; Vibrionales; Vibrionaceae.